This 467-nucleotide ribosomal RNA is filed under the name uncultured bacterium. RNAcentral's name for it is "partial 16S ribosomal RNA". It matches the Rfam family "Bacterial small subunit ribosomal RNA", at positions 29 to 507 of the family's 1533-position model. The record is from RNAcentral.
ACGAACGCUGGCGGCGUGCUUAACACAUGCAAGUCGAACGGAAAGGCCCUGCUUUUGUGGGGUGCUCGAGUGGCGAACGGGUGAGUAACACGUGAGUAACCUGCCCUUGACUUGGGGAUAACUUCAGGAAACUGGGGCUAAUACCGGAUAGGAGCUCCUGCUGCAUGGUGGGGGUUGGAAAGUUUCGGCGGUUGGGGAUGGACUCGCGGCUUAUCAGCUUGUUGGUGGGGUAGUGGCUUACCAAGGCUUUGACAGGUAGCCGGCCUGAGAGGGUGACCGGCCACAUUGGGACUGAGAUACGGCCCAGACUCCUACGGGAGGCAGCAGUGGGGAAUAUUGCACAAUGGGCGGAAGCCUGAUGCAGCAACGCCGCGUGCGGGAUGACGGCCUUCGGGUUGUAAACCGCUUUCGCCUGUGACGAAGCGUGAGUGACGGUAAUGGGUAAAGAAGCACCGGCUAACUACGUG